Non-coding RNA from Ictidomys tridecemlineatus (thirteen-lined ground squirrel), 106 nucleotides. The record is from Rfam. NCBI's taxonomy places the organism in Eukaryota, Metazoa, Chordata, Mammalia, Rodentia, Sciuridae.
GUGCAUGCUUAGGCAGCACAUAUACUAAAAUUGAAUGAUACAGAGAAGAUUAGCAUGUCCCCUGUGCAAGGAUGACAUGCAACUUCCUGAAAUGUUCCACAUAAAU